This 539-nucleotide ribosomal RNA is filed under the name uncultured bacterium. RNAcentral's name for it is "bacterial SSU rRNA". It matches the Rfam family "Bacterial small subunit ribosomal RNA", at positions 356 to 896 of the family's 1533-position model. The record is from RNAcentral.
GAGGAAUAUUGGUCAAUGGACGAAAGUCUGAACCAGCCAAGUAGCGUGCAGGAUGACGGCCCUCUGGGUUGUAAACUGCUUUUAGUUGGGAAUAAAAAAGAGGACGUGUCCUCUAUUGUAUGUACCUUCAGAAAAAGGACCGGCUAAUUCCGUGCCAGCAGCCGCGGUAAUACGGAAGGUCCAGGCGUUAUCCGGAUUUAUUGGGUUUAAAGGGAGCGUAGGCGGAUUAUUAAGUCAGUGGUGAAAGACGGUGGCUCAACCAUCGUUAGCCAUUGAAACUGGUAGUCUUGAGUGCAGACAGGGAUGCUGGAACUCGUGGUGUAGCGGUGAAAUGCUUAGAUAUCACGAUGAACUCCGAUCGCGAAGGCAGGUGUCCGGGCUGCAACUGACGCUGAGGCUCGAAAGUGUGGGUAUCAAACAGGAUUAGAUACCCUGGUAGUCCACACAGUAAACGAUGUAUACUCGCGGUUUGCGAUAUAAUGUAAGCCGCCAAGCGAAAGCAUUAAGUAUACCACCUGGGGAGUACGCCGGCAACGGUG